CCUACGGGAGGCAGCAGUGGGGAAUUUUCCGCAAUGGGCGAAAGCCUGACGGAGCAAUACCGCGUGAGGGAAGACGGCCUAUGGGUUGUAAACCUCUUUUUUCAGGGAGGAAUUUUGACGUGUACCUGAAGAAUAAGCAUCGGCUAACUCCGUGCCAGCAGCCGCGGUAAGACGGAGGAUGCAAGUGUUAUCCGGAAUCACUGGGCGUAAAGCGUCUGUAGGUGGUUAAGCAAGUCAACUGUUAAAUCUUGAGGCUCAACUUCAAAAUCGCAGUCGAAACUGUUUGACUAGAGUAUAGUAGGGGUAAAGGGAAUUUCCAGUGGAGCGGUGAAAUGCGUAGAUAUUGGAAAGAACACCGAUGGCGAAGGCACUUUACUGGGCUAUUACUGACACUCAGAGACGAAAGCUAGGGUAGCAAAUGGGAUUAGAUACCCCAGUAGUCCUAGCCGUAAACAAUGGAUACUAGAUGUUGAACAGAUCGACCUGUGCAGUAUCAAAGCUAACGCGUUAAGUAUCCCGCCUGGGAAGUAUGCUCGCAAGAGUGAAACUCAAAGGAAUUGACGG
Molecule: ribosomal RNA, 564 nt
Filed under: uncultured cyanobacterium
Lineage: Bacteria; Bacillati; Cyanobacteriota
Also listed under: 1 other name
Description: bacterial SSU rRNA
Rfam family: Bacterial small subunit ribosomal RNA
Source: RNAcentral